RNAcentral lists this ribosomal RNA (494 nucleotides) under uncultured bacterium. RNAcentral describes it as "bacterial SSU rRNA". It matches the Rfam family "Bacterial small subunit ribosomal RNA", at positions 29 to 507 of the family's 1533-position model. The record is from RNAcentral.
AUGAACGCUAGCUACAGGCUUAACACAUGCAAGGUCGAGGGGAAACGACAUCGAAAGCUUGCUUUUGGUGGGCGUCGACCGGCGGACGGGUGAGUAACACGUGGGUAACCUGCCUCAUAGAGGGGAAUAGCCUUUCGAAAGGAAGAUUAAUACCGCAUAUGGUAGCUUUACCGCAUGGUAGUGCUACUAAAGGAGCAAUCCGCUAUGAGAUGGACCCGCGUCGCAUUAGCUAGUUGGUGAGGUAACGGCUCACCAAGGCGACGAUGCGUAGCCGACCUGANAGGGUGAUCGGCCACAUUGGAACUGAGACACGGUCCAAACUCCUACGGGAGGCAGCAGUGAGGAAUAUUGGUCAAUGGAGGCAACUCUGAACCAGCCAAGUAGCGUGCAGGAUGACGGCCCUAUGGGUUGUAAACUGCUUUUAUGCGGGGAUAAACUGACUCACGUGUGGGUCAUUGCAGGUACCGCAUGAAUAAGGACCGGCUAAUUCCGUG